ACUUAGCACCCAGCCUGAGGCAGGCUCCAGCCCAGGACCCUGAGAUCAUGACCUGAGCCAGAAUCAAGAGUCAGAUGCUUAACUGACUGACCACCCCGGCGCCCCAGAGAGAUGUUUUUUUCUUACAAACAGCGGGAAAAGCUCCUCUGGGACUGGACGUGAAUCCUGCAUCUGUGUGAUCCCCCAGGAGGCACUGAGCCCUCCAGACGCCCUGGUUCUGCAGCUGCAGCCAGACCUGCCGGAGCUCUCAGUGAUUUGCAUAUUUUCUCCAGAGCCCAUUUCUGCUCCUCAGAAUCCCAUGAAUAGGCUGCUCAGACUUUCGGGGCAAAAAAGAGCCUCAGGCAGGGCCUUGACUCGAACAUGGGUGUCCUGACCGAGCUCCUCUGCCUUCUGCUGUCCUGCCUCCCAGCUGUCCGCGGGAGUACUAGGCUGAUCCAGUCUCCCGCCUUCCUCUCCGUGUCCCUGAGAGAGAGCGUGUUCAUCACCUGCAGGGCCAAUGACAGCAUCAGCGAUUACUUGAGCUGGUAUCAGCAGAAACCAGGCCAGGCUCCUAAGCUUCUCAUCUAUGACGCCGAUAACCUAGGUUCUGGUGUCCCAGACCGGUUCUCUGCGAUUCAGUCUAAGACAGAAUUCAUCCUCAAAAUCAGCACAAUAGAGGCUGAGGAUGCUGCCAGUUAUUACUGCCAGCAGGAUUAUACCCUCCCUCCCACCGUGCUACAGCCCUGAGCAAAAACCUUCCCCCUGGGCUGGUUGGCGGGGGAGGGCAGUGGUUCCAGCAGCUGCGCUCUGCUCUGUGCUAUGUUCAUUGUCGCAGGGGCUGCUUUGGGAGAAGGGCUUGCAGGGCUCAAGGGUCACGGCCUGCAAGAACUUUGUCCUUCAAAAGCUUCCUUUUUGCACUACAUAGAACAACCAAACCUUCAGCGAAUUCUAUCAGGGAGGCUUCUUUUUUUGUUUUUUUUAUUUUAUUUUAUUUUAUUUUAUUUUAUUUUAUUUUAUUUUAUUUUAUUUUAUUUUAUUAUAUUAUGUUAAUCACCAUACAGUACAGUAUCAGGGAGGCUUCUAAGUCAGGCCUGCAAAGGACUUUGUCUGCAGCGUCGUCUUCUCUGAGAAACACUCUGCCGGGUUUUUGUUUUGUUUUAAGACAGAGAACCAAGCAGGAAAAGGAGCCUAUAUCCAAGAAAAUAUUCCUCCUAAUCCUACUAAUAAUCAUAAUAGUAAGAAUAGCAGUAAUAGUACUGAUGACGGUAAAGCGUGACAGUAAUUACUCUGCCAGUUGCCGUUUGCUGAAGUCUUGGAGACGUGCUCUGUGCUCGACGCGGCACCAAGGCCUUACUCAUCCAGAGCAAACAGUCACACAAUCAGCCUCUAGCGACGAGAAAUCAGGGGUUCUCCGAGCUCUGGUUCCUCAAGGCACCAGUGCUUUAGGGAAGAAGAUGGGGGGAAAAAUUAUGAUUUUCAGACUCCUAAGUCCUAUUCCUUAAUUAACUCAUUCAUUCAAAAAGUAGAUAAUAUUAAAUGCAGUCAAGUGAAAUUCCUGUAUAUAAAGUGAAAUUAAAUAUAUACCUAGAUGAAUAUACACAUGAUCAUAUCCUCCUUUAACUGCUACACAGUCUGGAGGGCUGCUGCCUCCAACAUCCCAAAGGCUCCUCACGCCCCUUGCAGUCCCAUCCAUACUCCAGCCCCCGCCUAGCACCAGCGGCCACCAGGGCUCUGUUUCCUGGUCUUAAACUUCACAUAAAUGACAUCAGACAGUAUGUACUUUUCAGGUUCCUUUGACAACAUGUUUUUCGAACUUCACUCGUGUUGUUGGUGUGGCCAUAAUUUAUUCCUUUUUACAGCAGGAAAGUUCUCUAGUAUAUGAAUCUAUCACAAUUCAUUUUUCAAUCUAUGAGUUCUUCUAGAUUGGAGGCUGUUAUAAAGAUUUAGGAACAUUUUUGCAAUGUCUUUUGUGGACUUACACACUCCCUUCCCUUGGGAACAUUCCUCAGAAUGGAAGUGCUGAAUCAUGUAGGUUUGGCUUCAGUAAACAAUGGUCGUCUCUAUUUCUGCCCCAUCAACUGUGAGUACAAGUUCCAGUGCCUGUAAAUCGUGGCAUUACUUGGUGUUGCCACACUUUUUAUUAUAAUCAUAUUGGUAGAUCUUGAGUGGUAUUGUAGUUAAAACGUAGAUUUCCUUGAUGAGUAACGAUGUUGAGUAACUUUUCAUAUGUUUUUCAUUAGCUAUUUUGAUAUCUUGGGAAACACCUGUUCAAAACAGAUAUAGAUGAUAGAUAGAGCGGUGAGAGAGAGAGAGAUUAUCUUUUGUUAUAUACUCUGAAAAGUAUCUUUUGUCAAAAACAUGCAUUGGAAAAUCUUCCCCAAGUUUAGGAAUGUCUAUUAACUUUCUUAAUGAUAUAUUUGAAAAUAAGUUUCAAAUCUCGAUGGGGUCUAAUUUAUCCAUUUUUUUUCACCUUAUCUUUGUGUGUGUCUAUGUGUGUUCCACAUAAUAAAUAUGUGUC
Molecule: non-coding RNA, 2497 nt
Organism: Ailuropoda melanoleuca (giant panda)
Lineage: Eukaryota; Metazoa; Chordata; Mammalia; Carnivora; Ursidae
Source: the annotation of a RefSeq genome assembly